AAACGGAAGCCCGAAGAUGGGCACUAGACAAGGGCCCAGGUCCUACGGGGCGCAGCAGUCGCGAAAACUUUGCAAUACACGAAAGUGUGACAGGGUCAUCCCGAGUGCCGACCGCUAGGUUGGCUUUUACCCAGUCUAGAAAGCUGGGGGAAUAAGGAGAGGGCAAGUCUGGUGUCAGCCGCCGCGGUAAUACCAGCUCUCCGAGUGGUGUGGACGUUUAUUGGGCCUAAAGCAUCCGUAGCUGGCUGAACAAGUCCCCUGUUAAACCCACCGAUUUAAUCGUUGGUCUGCGGGGGAUACUGCUCAGCUAGGGGACGAGAGAGGCAGACGGUAUUCCCGGGGUAGGGGUGAAAUCCUAUAAUCCCGAGAAGACCACCAGUGGCGAAGGCUGUCUGCUAGAGCGCGCCCGACGGUGAGGGAUGAAAGCUGGGGGAGCGAACCGGAUUAGAUACCCGGGUAGUCCCAGCUGUAAACGAUGCAGACUAGGUGUUUGGACGGCCACGUGCCGUUCUAGUGCCGCAGGGAAGCUGUUAAGUCUGCCGCCUGGGGAGUACGAUCGCAAGGUUGAAACUUAAAGGAAUUGGCGGGGGAGCACCACAAGGGGUGAAGCUUGCGGUUUAAUUGGAUUCAACGCCGGA
This 638-nucleotide ribosomal RNA is filed under the name uncultured archaeon. RNAcentral's name for it is "SSU rRNA". It matches the Rfam family "Archaeal small subunit ribosomal RNA", at positions 280 to 922 of the family's 1478-position model. The record is from RNAcentral.